This 460-nucleotide ribosomal RNA is filed under the name uncultured bacterium. RNAcentral's name for it is "partial 16S ribosomal RNA". It matches the Rfam family "Bacterial small subunit ribosomal RNA", at positions 338 to 795 of the family's 1533-position model. The record is from RNAcentral.
CCUACGGGAGGCAGCAGUGAGGAAUAUUGGUCAAUGGACGAGAGUCUGAACCAGCCAAGUAGCGUGAAGGAUGACUGCCCUAUGGGUUGUAAACUUCUUUUAUAUGGGAAUAAAAUGUUCCACGUGUGGGAUGUUGUAUGUACCAUAUGAAUAAGGAUCGGCUAACUCCGUGCCAGCAGCCGCGGUAAUACGGAGGAUCCGAGCGUUAUCCGGAUUUAUUGGGUUUAAAGGGUGCGUAGGUGGAUUGUUAAGUCAGUUGUGAAAGUUUGCGGCUCAACCGUAAGAUUGCAGUUGAAACUGGCAGUCUUGAGUACAGUAGAGGUGGGCGGAAUUCGUGGUGUAGCGGUGAAAUGCUUAGAUAUCACGAAGAACUCCGAUUGCGAAGGCAGCUCACUGGACUGCAACUGACACUGAGGCUCGAAAGUGUGGGUAUCAAACAGGAUUAGAUACCCUUGUAGUC